CCUACGGGAGGCAGCAGUAGGGAAUAUUGGACAAUGGGCGAAAGCCUGAUCCAGCAAUGCCGCGUGAGUGAUGAAGGCCUUAGGGUUGUAAAGCUCUUUUACCCGAGAUGAUAAUGACAGUAUCGGGAGAAUAAGCUCCGGCUAACUCCGUGCCAGCAGCCGCGGUAAUACGGAGGGAGCUAGCGUUGUUCGGAAUUACUGGGCGUAAAGCGCACGUAGGCGGCGAUUUAAGUCAGAGGUGAAAGCCCGGGGCUCAACCCCGGAACUGCCUUUGAGACUGGAUUGCUAGAAUCUUGGAGAGGCGAGUGGAAUUCCGAGUGUAGAGGUGAAAUUCGUAGAUAUUCGGAAGAACACCAGUGGCGAAGGCGGCUCGCUGGACAAGUAUUGACGCUGAGGUGCGAAAGCGUGGGGAGCAAACAGGAUUAGAUACCCGUGUAGUC
Molecule: ribosomal RNA, 440 nt
Filed under: uncultured bacterium
Lineage: Bacteria
Description: bacterial SSU rRNA
Rfam family: Bacterial small subunit ribosomal RNA
Source: RNAcentral